RNAcentral lists this long non-coding RNA (415 nucleotides) under Homo sapiens (human). RNAcentral's name for it is "LHRI_LNC341.1". The record is from RNAcentral. Lineage: Eukaryota; Metazoa; Chordata; Mammalia; Primates; Hominidae.
CUCACUAUCUCUAGAGUGAGAAUCUGGCUCCUGUUUCCAUGGCUCAAAGCCGGUUGCAGAGAAUCUGCAGUCACUUCGGAGCUUUAGCUUCUUCUCUGCCAAGCCCUCAAUAAGCCAGCAAACCAGGACUCUGCCCCUUCUGUUUCCAUAGGAAUCAUGUUGGAUAGUCAGCUGUACCAAGCCCCUUGGCCUUCCCAUGCACACAAACACCUCCUAGCAAGACCUGUUGGUUAGCUGGACAUGCUUUGGCAAUUUUUUUAUACUGCCAAGUGACCAUAAAGGCAUGGCAUUUGUUGUGACUGGCACCCAAUGUUUGAUUUUUUUUUUAAACUAUCCAAUUAAAAUUAAGGUCUGGGAGUGUUCUGUUUCCCAUUACUUUAAUACUCACCCCCCUCCCAGACUUUCUACACCUGUU